Molecule: ribosomal RNA, 273 nt
Filed under: uncultured bacterium
Lineage: Bacteria
Description: partial 16S ribosomal RNA
Rfam family: Bacterial small subunit ribosomal RNA
Source: RNAcentral
UACGGAGGGUGCAAGCGUUAAUCGGAAUUACUGGGCGUAAAGCGCGCGUAGGUGGUUUGUUAAGCGGAAUGUGAAAGCCCCGGGCUCAACCUGGGAACUGCAUUGCGAACUGGCAGACUAGAGUACAGUAGAGGGUAGUGGAAUUUCCUGUGUAGCGGUGAAAUGCGUAGAGAUGGGAAGGAACAUCAGUGGCGAAGGCGACUGCCUGGACUGAUACUGACACUGAGGUGCGAAAGCGUGGGGAGCAAACAGGAUUAGAUACCCCGGUAGUCC